Molecule: ribosomal RNA, 497 nt
Filed under: uncultured bacterium
Lineage: Bacteria
Description: partial 16S ribosomal RNA
Rfam family: Bacterial small subunit ribosomal RNA
Source: RNAcentral
GAUGAACGCUGGCGGCGUGCCUAAUACAUGCAAGUCGAGCGAACAGACGAGGAGCUUGCUCCUCUGACGUUAGCGGCGGACGGGUGAGUAACACGUGGAUAACCUACCUAUAAGACUGGGAUAACUUCGGGAAACCGGAGCUAAUACCGGAUAAUAUAUUGAACCGCAUGGUUCAAUAGUGAAAGACGGUUUUGCUGUCACUUAUAGAUGGAUCCGCGCCGCAUUAGCUAGUUGGUAAGGUAACGGCUUACCAAGGCAACGAUGCGUAGCCGACCUGAGAGAGUGAUCGGCGACACCGGAACUGAGACACGGGCCAGACUCCUACGGGAGGCAGCAGUAGGGAAUCUUCCGCAAUGGGCGAAAGUCUGACGGAGCAACGCCGCGUGAGUGAUGAAGGUCUUCGGAUCGUAAAACUCUGUUAUUAGGGAAGAACAAAUGUGUAAGUAACUAUGCACGUCUUGACGGUACCUAAUCAGAAAGCCACGGCUAACUACGUG